RNAcentral lists this transfer RNA (74 nucleotides) under Ferriphaselus amnicola. It matches the Rfam family "tRNA". From Rfam's summary of the family: Transfer RNA (tRNA) molecules are approximately 80 nucleotides in length. Their secondary structure includes four short double-helical elements and three loops (D, anti-codon, and T loops). RNAcentral also lists the same sequence under 1 other name. Lineage: Bacteria; Pseudomonadati; Pseudomonadota; Betaproteobacteria; Nitrosomonadales; Gallionellaceae. The record is from Rfam by way of RNAcentral.
GGCGAAUUAGCUCAGCCGGUUAGAGCGACGGAAUCAUAAUCCGCAGGUCCCCCGUUCGAAUCGGGGAUUCGCCA